This 119-nucleotide ribosomal RNA is filed under the name Pteropus alecto (black flying fox). Lineage: Eukaryota; Metazoa; Chordata; Mammalia; Chiroptera; Pteropodidae. The record is from RNAcentral.
GUCUAUGGCCACGCCACCCUGAACAAGCCCGAUCCCGUCUGAUCUCAGAAGCUAAGCAGGGUCGGGCCUAGUUAGUACUCGGAUGGGAGACCACCUAGGAAGACGAGCGGCUAUAGGCG